RNAcentral lists this ribosomal RNA (1214 nucleotides) under metagenome. RNAcentral's name for it is "bacterial LSU rRNA". It matches the Rfam family "Bacterial large subunit ribosomal RNA", at positions 1696 to 2925 of the family's 2925-position model. The record is from RNAcentral.
AAACUCUCUCUAAGGAACUCGGCAAAAUGGCCCCGUAACUUCGGGAGAAGGGGUGCCACCGCAAGGUGGUCGCAGUGAAGAGGCCCAGGCGACUGUUUACCAAAAACACAGGUCUCUGCUAAGUCGCGAGACGAUGUAUGGGGGCUGACGCCUGCCCAGUGCCGGAAGGUUAAGGAAGCUGGUCAGCGUAAGUGAAGCUAGCGACUGAAGCCCCGGUGAACGGCGGCCGUAACAAUAACGGUCCUAAGGUAGCGAAAUUCCUUGUCGGGUAAGUUCCGACCCGCACGAAAGGCGUAACGAUCUGGGCGCUGUCUCGGAGAGAGGCUCGGCGAAAUAGAAUUGUCUGUGAAGAUGCGGACUACGUGCACCCGGACAGAAAGACCCUAUGAAGCUUUACUGUAGCUUGGUAUUGUGCUCGGGCUCGGAAUGCGCAGGAUAGGUGGGAGGCUAUGAACCAUUGCUUGUGGGUGAUGGUGAGCCACUGGUGAGAUACCACUCUUUCCGAGCUAGAGUUCUAACAGCCACCCGUUAUCCGGGGGCUGGACAGUAUCAGGUGGGCAGUUUGACUGGGGCGGUCGCCUCCUAAAAGGUAACGGAGGCGCGCAAAGGUUUGCUCAGGCUGGUUGGAAAUCAGCCGACGAGUGUAAAAGCAGAAGCAAGCUUGACUGUGAGACCUACAAGUCGAACAGGGAGGAAACUCGGCUUUAGUGAUCCGACGGUUCUGCGUGGAAGGGCCGUCGCUCAACGGAUAAAAGUUACUCUAGGAUAACAGGCUGAUCUCCCCCAAGAGUUCACAUCGACGGGGAGGUUUGGCACCUCGAUGUCGGCUCAUCGCAACCUGGGGCUGAAGUCGGUCCCAAGGGUUGGGCUGUUCGCCCAUUAAAGCGGUACGCGAGCUGGGUUCAGAACGUCGUGAGACAGUUCGGUCCAUAUCCGGUGCAUGCGCAGGAAUAUUGAGAGGAUUUCUCCCUAGUACGAGAGGACCGGGAGGAACGCACCUCUGGUGUACCAGUUAUCGUGCCAACGGUAAACGCUGGGUAGCCAUGUGCGGAGUGGAUAACCGCUGAAAGCAUCUAAGUGGGAAGCCCACCUCAAGAUGAGUAUUCCCAUGGGGUAACCCAGUAAGGUCACGGGAAGAACACCCGUUGAUAGGCUCUACGUGGAAGCGCAGUAAUGUGUGAAGCGGAGGAGUACUAAUAGACCGAGGGCUUGAC